RNAcentral lists this long non-coding RNA (617 nucleotides) under Neodiprion lecontei (redheaded pine sawfly). RNAcentral's name for it is "uncharacterized LOC124293728, transcript variant X1". The record is from RNAcentral. Lineage: Eukaryota; Metazoa; Arthropoda; Insecta; Hymenoptera; Diprionidae.
UACGCUAUAACGACGAUUAUAACGACACUUUGCACACGAGCUAGAGGAGUGGUGUGCGUUUCCCAUAUUUUUCUCGACUCCGAGAAAGUGCUUCGAAAAGUGCUCCGAAAGUGAAAAAUAAUUACGACGUUUGAAAUAACAAGUAAGAUCAUGGCUAUCGAAUACCUUGCUUGGAAUGUAUUCGUUCUUGAGGAAAGAUUACGUCGACUCGAACGUCGUGUGGAAAGAAGGCGACUGAGAGAUGCUCAGAAUCCUUUUCAGCUACCACGAGAAGAGUUUCUCAGCCUUUUUCGCCUGCCUCAAGAAGCUGUGAUGAAUCUUGGUUAACACCUUAAGCGCAGUCAAAGCGAAAAUAUUUUUCACUGUUCAGCAAAGCAGCAUAGGUGAUGCUGGAUAUCCGUUGGAGCCUUGGCUGUUAACACCUCUGGCCAAUUUUCCUGAAGAUACGCGACAACAUCAAUAUACACAACAACUAUGUUGUAAGGCUAGAAGCGUCGUCGAGCGGUUUUUUGGAGUUUUUAAAUCUGUAUGGAGAUGCUUGUCAUACCAGCGAGUCUUGAUGUACGAACCAGCGUUCGCAGCGAAAAUUGUUAAUGCGUGUGCAGUACUGCACAACA